AUGGAUCACAGAAAUCCAGGGCUACCUCAAGGAAAAUGCCCUCCUCGAGGACGACACAACCGCGGAAAGGAUCGCUCAAUAAGCCAAGGGCUACACCUUGAUGGAUGGGGACUUGUAUCGGCGCAGCGCCCACCGGGUCCUGCUCAAGUGCAUCCCGAGGAAGGCCAAGAGCUGCUCGUGGGUAUUCAUGGAGGCGAAUGCGUUAUCCACACAUCUUCGCGCACCCUGGUCGGAAAGGCUUUCAGAAAGAUUUUUUACUGGUUGACUACUCUUCAAGACGCCGCCGAGAUGGUCUGA
Molecule: ribosomal RNA, 297 nt
Filed under: Triticum aestivum (bread wheat)
Lineage: Eukaryota; Viridiplantae; Streptophyta; Magnoliopsida; Poales; Poaceae
Description: partial small subunit ribosomal RNA
Source: RNAcentral